RNAcentral lists this ribosomal RNA (445 nucleotides) under Streptococcus gordonii. RNAcentral's name for it is "bacterial SSU rRNA". It matches the Rfam family "Bacterial small subunit ribosomal RNA", at positions 28 to 455 of the family's 1533-position model. Lineage: Bacteria; Bacillati; Bacillota; Bacilli; Lactobacillales; Streptococcaceae. The record is from RNAcentral.
GACGAACGCUGGCGGCGUGCCUAAUACAUGCAAGUAGAACGCACAGUUUAUACCGUAGCUUGCUACACCAUAGACUGUGAGUUGCGAACGGGUGAGUAACGCGUAGGUAACCUGCCUGGUAGCGGGGGAUAACUAUUGGAAACGAUAGCUAAUACCGCAUAAUAUUAAUUAUUGCAUGAUAAUUAAUUAAAAGGUGCAAUUGCACCACUACCAGAUGGACCUGCGUUGUAUUAGCUAGUAGGUGAGGUAACGGCUCACCUAGGCGACGAUACAUAGCCGACCUGAGAGGGUGAUCGGCCACACUGGGACUGAGACACGGCCCAGACUCCUACGGGAGGCAGCAGUAGGGAAUCUUCGGCAAUGGACGAAAGUCUGACCGAGCAACGCCGCGUGAGUGAAGAAGGUUUUCGGAUCGUAAAGCUCUGUUGUAAGAGAAGAACGGGUG